AUUGAACGCUGGCGGCAUGCCUUACACAUGCAAGUCGAACGGCAGCACGGGAGCAAUCCUGGUGGCGAGUGGCGAACGGGUGAGUAAAGUAUCGGAACGUGCCCAGUCGUGGGGGAUAACGUAGCGAAAGUUACGCUAAUACCGCAUACGAUCUAUGGAUGAAAGCGGGGGAUCGCAAGACCUCGCGCGAUUGGAGCGGCCGAUAUCAGAUUAGGUAGUUGGUGGGGUAAAGGCUCACCAAGCCGCCGGUCUGUAGCUGGUCUGAGAGGACGACCAGCCACACUGGGACUGAGACACGGCCCAGACUCCUACGGGAGGCAGCAGUGGGGAAUUUUGGACAAUGGGCGAAGGCCUGAUCCAGCCAUGCCGCGUGCAGGAUGAAGGCCUUCGGGUUGUAAACUGCUUUUGUACGGAACGAAAAGGUUUGGCCUAAUAAGCUGAGCUCAUGACGGUACCGUAAGAAUAAGCACCGGCUAACUACGUGCCAGCCGCCGCGGUAA
This 500-nucleotide ribosomal RNA is filed under the name uncultured bacterium. RNAcentral's name for it is "partial 16S ribosomal RNA". It matches the Rfam family "Bacterial small subunit ribosomal RNA", at positions 30 to 523 of the family's 1533-position model. The record is from RNAcentral.